Molecule: ribosomal RNA, 393 nt
Filed under: Triticum aestivum (bread wheat)
Lineage: Eukaryota; Viridiplantae; Streptophyta; Magnoliopsida; Poales; Poaceae
Description: partial small subunit ribosomal RNA
Source: RNAcentral
AUGGAUCCCGCACGCUCAUCACCGUCUCUGGUCGGAACCAAUCCGUGGCAAAACCACGAGACCGCCGACGCAGAUCCGCCUUGGAUAUGGACUGCACCACGCCAUGCCGCCGCGGGAAGCCCGAGCUUCACCCGCCGCCGCAAUCCAAGGCCGCCGCCCCAGGAUCCUGAUCUGGCCAGCCCGGACCUCCACGACGCCCUCUUCACGCCGCCGCCGCCGGCUCGCCACCAGGCAACCGCGCCGCCGCCCAAGGCCUCCGCCCGGAGCACGCCGUCGUGCCACCAUGGAUCAGAUCGCCGCUGCGCCGUCACGCGCGUGGAGGUCCCGCCCCACCCCCUCCGACGCGAUCCAGGGAGGAGAGCCUCCGCCACCACCGCCGGCCCCCGGGCUUAG